Molecule: long non-coding RNA, 489 nt
Organism: Salvelinus sp. IW2-2015
Lineage: Eukaryota; Metazoa; Chordata; Actinopteri; Salmoniformes; Salmonidae
Source: RefSeq, a predicted model, not a curated record
AACAUCUCCUCUGUGGCUUACCUCUUCAUCGGAACGGCCUCACAGGCUUCAUCAAGUCAGACCUGCAGAGACAGAAGGCUAACCAGUUGGCCAAGGCAGCUGUCCCUUCAGAUCCCGAGGAUGGGAACGUCCCUGCCUCCGCAGUCCUCGAAGAAACCAGGUUUUAGAGACGGACGAUCUGCUGGACACCAGCAUCUCCCACCCUGUGGAAUGUGAAGUUUAGGGGAGGAGCACAAUCAGGAAGUGUUUACGACCACUUCCCUUUAACACUGUCCAAAAAGACAUCCAAUAUUUACGCAACAACAAAUUAUUUCUGUAUAAUUUCUAGAUGUGCCAUAUCUACCGGUAAUCUACAAAAUGUUUACUGUCCAAAAUUAGCACAAAUAAUACUGUCGUUUUACAGUAUACACUGUUGCAUGACAUAGACUGACCAGGUGAAAGCUAUGAUCCCUUAUUUAUGUCACUUGUUAAAUCCACUUCAAUCAGUGU